Molecule: ribosomal RNA, 1132 nt
Filed under: Aquipseudomonas alcaligenes
Lineage: Bacteria; Pseudomonadati; Pseudomonadota; Gammaproteobacteria; Pseudomonadales; Pseudomonadaceae
Description: bacterial SSU rRNA
Rfam family: Bacterial small subunit ribosomal RNA
Source: RNAcentral
CAUGCGGCAGCUACACAUGCAAGUCGAGCGGAUGAGUGGAGCUUGCUCCAUGAUUCAGCGGCGGACGGGUGAGUAAUGCCUAGGAAUCUGCCUGGUAGUGGGGGACAACGUUUCGAAAGGAACGCUAAUACCGCAUACGUCCUACGGGAGAAAGCAGGGGACCUUCGGGCCUUGCGCUAUCAGAUGAGCCUAGGUCGGAUUAGCUAGUAGGUGAGGUAAAGGCUCACCUAGGCGACGAUCCGUAACUGGUCUGAGAGGAUGAUCAGUCACACUGGAACUGAGACACGGUCCAGACUCCUACGGGAGGCAGCAGUGGGGAAUAUUGGACAAUGGGCGAAAGCCUGAUCCAGCCAUGCCGCGUGUGUGAAGAAGGUCUUCGGAUUGUAAAGCACUUUAAGUUGGGAGGAAGGGCAGUAAGUUAAUACCUUGCUGUUUUGACGUUACCAACAGAAUAAGCACCGGCUAACUUCGUGCCAGCAGCCGCGGUAAUACGAAGGGUGCAAGCGUUAAUCGGAAUUACUGGGCGUAAAGCGCGCGUAGGUGGUUCAGCAAGUUGGAGGUGAAAUCCCCGGGCUCAACCUGGGAACUGCCUCCAAAACUACUGAGCUAGAGUACGGUAGAGGGUAGUGGAAUUUCCUGUGUAGCGGUGAAAUGCGUAGAUAUAGGAAGGAACACCAGUGGCGAACGCGACUACCUGGACUGAUACUGACACUGAGGUGCGAAAGCGUGGGGAGCAAACAGGAUUAGAUACCCUGGUAGUCCACGCCGUAAACGAUGUCGACUAGCCUUGGGAUCCUUGAGAUCUUACUGGCGCAGCUAACGCAUUAAGUCGACCGCCUGGGAGUACGGCCGCAAGCUCAAAACUCAAUGAAUUGACGGCGGCCCGCACAAGCGGUGGAGCACGUGGUUUAAUUCGAAGCAACUACGAAGAACUUACCUGGCCUUGACAUGCUGACACUUUCCACAUAUGGAUUGCUGCGUUCGGGGACUCAAACUCAGGUGCUGCAUGUCUGUCUUCAACUGUGACGUGAGAUGUAGUGUUAUGUCCGGUAUCCAGCGCACUCAUAGUCCUUAACUACCAGCACUCGGGUGGGCACUCUAGGAAGACUGCCGUUAACAAAUCGGCAGGAAG